UUCUCUCUGCCCUGCAGGUGAGGUCUGACUGCCCAGGCGGAAUAAUAUUGAAGAAGGGCUUUGGCUUGGCGGAUGUUGUGAGCAAGCCCUCCAAGAAGAGGGAAGCCUGAUGCAUCCCCAGAGGAGCCCACGUAGUAGGGACUCGCAUGAGGCCCAAAGACCCACGGCAGGAGUGGAGAGACU
This 183-nucleotide non-coding RNA is filed under the name Desulfuromonadales bacterium. RNAcentral describes it as "6S RNA". It matches the Rfam family "6S / SsrS RNA". Rfam says of the family: E. coli 6S RNA was the first non coding RNA to be sequenced, but its function was unknown until recently. The record is from RNAcentral. Lineage: Bacteria; Pseudomonadati; Thermodesulfobacteriota; Desulfuromonadia; Desulfuromonadales.